AGUGGCGAACGGGUGAGUAUCACGUGAGCAACCUGCCCGGAAGAGGGGGAUAGCCUGGGGAAACUCGGAUUAAUACCCCAUAGUAUCAUGCAGGACAUCCUGUCAUGAUUAAAGGUGCCUUCGGGUGCCACUUCCGGAUGGGCUCGCGGCCUAUCAGCUUGAUGGUGAGGUAACGGCUCACCAUGGCUCCGACGGGUAGCUGGUCUGAGAGGAUGGUCAGCCACACUGGAACUGAGACACGGUCCAGACACCUACGGGUGGCAGCAGUCGAGAAUCAUUCGCAAUGGGCGAAAGCCUGACGGUGCGACGCCGCGUGGAGGACGAAGGCCUUCGGGUCGUAAACUCCUGUCAUCAGGGAGUAAGUCAGUUGUCGUUAAUAGCGGCAGCUGUUGAUAGUACCUGAAGAGGAAGAGACGGCUAACUCUGUGCCAGCAGCCGCGGUAAUACAGAGGUCUCAAGCGUUGUUCGGAAUUACUGGGCGUAAAGCGUGCGUAGGCGGCGAGGUAAGUCAGAUGUGAAAGCUCGGGGCUCAACCCCGAAACUGCAUCCGAUACUGCCUUGCUAGAGUAAUGGAGGGGAGUCUGGAAUUCACGGUGUAGCAGUGAAAUGCGUAGAUAUCGUGAGGAACACUAGUGGCGAAGGCGAGACUCUGGACAUUUACUGACGCUGAGGCACGAAGGCUAGGGUAGCGAAGCGGAUUAGAUACCCGCGUAGUCCUAGCAGUAAACGGUGCGCGUUUGGUGUGGGAGGAUUCGACCCCUUCCGUGCCGGAGCUAACGCGUUAAACGCGCCGCCUGGGGAGUACGGUCGCAAGAUUAAAACUCAAAGAAAUUGACGGGGACCCGCACAAGCGGUGGAGUAUGUGGCUUAAUUCGAUGCAACGCGAAGAACCUUACCUGGGUUUGACAUGCUUGUCAUAGUCCUGCGAAAGCAGGACGUCAGUUCGGCUGGACUUGCACAGGUGCUGCAUGGCUGUCGUCAGCUCGUGUCGUGAGAUGUUGGGUUAAGUCCCGCAACGAGCGCAACCCCUGUGAAUAGUUGCCAGCACGUAAUGGUGGGGACUAUAUUCAGAGUGCCCAGAUGAAGUGGGAGGAAGGUGGGGACGACGUCAAGUCAGUAUGGCCUUUAUGCCCAGGGCUGCACACGU
This 1147-nucleotide ribosomal RNA is filed under the name uncultured bacterium. RNAcentral describes it as "bacterial SSU rRNA". It matches the Rfam family "Bacterial small subunit ribosomal RNA", at positions 94 to 1223 of the family's 1533-position model. The record is from RNAcentral.